Molecule: ribosomal RNA, 497 nt
Filed under: uncultured bacterium
Lineage: Bacteria
Description: partial 16S ribosomal RNA
Rfam family: Bacterial small subunit ribosomal RNA
Source: RNAcentral
GAUGAACGCUGGCGGCGUGCCUAACACAUGCAAGUCGAGCGAACGGACGAGACGCUUGCUUCUCUGACGUUAGCGGCGGACGGGUGAGUAACACGUGGAUACCCUACCUAUAAGACUGGGAUAAUUUCGGGAAACCGUAGCUAACACCGGAUAAUAUUUUGAACCGUAUGGUUCAAAGGUGAAAGACGGUCUUGCUGUCACUUAUAGAUGGAUACGCGCUGCAUUAGCUAGUUGGUAAGGUAACGGCUUACCAAGGCGACGAUGCAUAGCCGACCGGAGAGGGUGGUCGGCCGCACUGGAACGGAGACACGGUCCAGACUCCUACGGGAGGCAGCAGUAGGGUAUCUUCCGCAGUGGGCGGAAGCCUGACGGAACAACGCGGCGUGAGUGAUGGCAGUCUUCGGAUCGUAAAGCUCUGUUAUUGGGGAAGAACAGAUGUGUCAGUAACCGUGCAGAGCUUGACGGUAACUAAUCAAAAAGCCACGGCUAACUACGUG